AGAAUUUAGGAUUUUGGCUAUAUUUUUUGUGGAAGUUUUAUGUGAUUUGGAGUUUUUAUGAAAGCUAUAUAGGCACUUAAAAUUAAGAUAUUGGUUUUGUAUCUAUUGUCACUAUUUUGGACAUAACGCACUCAUAUAGAAAGAAAUGAAGGAUGAAUAAUUGGGGUUGGAGAGAAAAAAAUUUAAUUACACUUUUUACAUAUAAUUUGAUGGAUUCUAAGCUAAGAUGAAGGAAUUAUAGGAAGUUGAAGUCAAAACUUGUAAUCUAAGGGCAAUAAGUGACCUAAUUUAAUAGUUAAUGUGUUUUGAGCCAUAUCUUAAGUAGUGUAAUAAGAUUUUGGCUAAAUAUUUCUAAGAAUGUGUGAUUUUAUAUUAAUAAAAUUUAUACACAAAUUUUGUAGCAUUUGGAGAUUGGAUUUUCGAGAUAUAGAAAAAAUAGUAUUUAGAUGCUUAUAAAUUAGGAUUUAAAGUACUUGCUAGGAUUUUCCAAGAUGCCAGAUGAUAUGUGGUAGGUUUGUAGUUUAUUUUUUUGUGAAAAAGCUUAA
RNAcentral lists this long non-coding RNA (545 nucleotides) under Physcomitrium patens. Its description in RNAcentral is "long non-coding RNA (PPAT_LNC010509)". The record is from RNAcentral. Lineage: Eukaryota; Viridiplantae; Streptophyta; Bryopsida; Funariales; Funariaceae.